CCCACGAGUUCGCAGGGGAGGACGGUCAGAGGAAUCAGGCGUCUCCCUUGACUCCCCUUCUCUCGCCUUGCAUUCGUGACACCGAGGGGCCGGCGCUCAGGGGUAAUCUCUAUCAGUCACCCUUGAGGCCCCGGGUAAUUUUUAGGGAUGUCCACCCCUGCAGUUUUAUCCAUGGACCAAGGAUCUGCAGACCCCAUGUUAAGAAUACCUGGAUAUGCAGAAUCUACACAGAACUAAAGCGGAUUUACAAGAAAAAAACAAACCCAUUCAAAAGUGGAUGAAGGACAUGAACAGACACUUUUCAAAAGAAGACAUUUAUGAGGCCAGCAAACAUAUGAAAAAAUGCUCAUCAUCACUGGUCAUUAGAGAGAUGCAAAUCAAAACCACAUUGAGAUACCAUCUCACGCCAGUUAGAAUGGCGAUCAUUAAAAAAUCUGGAGACAACAGAUGCUGGAGAGGAUGUGGAGAAAAAGGAACACUUUUACACUGUUGGUGGGAGUGUAAAUUAGUUAAACCAUUGUGGAAGACAGUGUGGCGAUUCCUCAAGGAUUUAGAAAUAGAAAUUCCAUUUGACCCAGCAACCCCAUUACUGGGUAUAUACCCAAAGGAUUAUAAAUCAAUUAUAAAGACACAUGCA
This is a long non-coding RNA of Callithrix jacchus (white-tufted-ear marmoset), 637 nucleotides long. RefSeq lists it as uncharacterized. Lineage: Eukaryota; Metazoa; Chordata; Mammalia; Primates; Cebidae. The record is from RefSeq and is a predicted model, not a curated record.